RNAcentral lists this ribosomal RNA (564 nucleotides) under Hypocreales sp. H4429. RNAcentral describes it as "eukaryotic LSU rRNA". The stretch from base 186 to 339 matches the Rfam family "5.8S ribosomal RNA". The record is from RNAcentral. Lineage: Eukaryota; Fungi; Ascomycota; Sordariomycetes; Hypocreales.
UCUGUAGGGUACCUGCGGAGGGAUCAUUACCGAGUUAUCAACUCCCAAACCCCUGUGAACAUACCUUUUGUUGCCUCGGCGGGAUCGCCCCGGCGCCUUCGGGCCCGGACCCAGGCGCCCGCCGCAGGACCCUAAACUCUUGUUUUCUAUAUGAAUCUUCUGAGUGACACAAGCAAAUAAAUUAAAACUUUCAACAACGGAUCUCUUGGUUCUGGCAUCGAUGAAGAACGCAGCGAAAUGCGAUAAGUAAUGUGAAUUGCAGAAUUCAGUGAAUCAUCGAAUCUUUGAACGCACAUUGCGCCCGGCAGUAUUCUGCCGGGCAUGCCUGUUCGAGCGUCAUUUCAACCCUCAAGCCCCCCGGGCUUGGUGUUGGAGAUCGGCCCGCCCCUGCGGCAGGCCGGCUCCGAAAUCCAGUGGCGGUCCCGCUGUAACUUCCUCUGCGUAGUAGCAAUAUCUCGCACCGGAAAGCGACGGAGCCUUGCCGUAAAACCCCCAACUUCUGAAGGUUGACCUCGGAUCAGGUAGGAAUACCCGCUGAACUUAAGCAUAUCAAUAAGCCGGAGA